Molecule: long non-coding RNA, 762 nt
Organism: Notolabrus celidotus (New Zealand spotty)
Lineage: Eukaryota; Metazoa; Chordata; Actinopteri; Labriformes; Labridae
Exons: 3
Source: RefSeq, a predicted model, not a curated record
CUCUGAUUCAAAUGGAAGACGCGCAUUUCAUUACACCUGUCAAGUAGCUCAGUGAAGCAUCUCAGAUUUGCUACGUGAAGAUAACAUUAAAUGGGGCAGUGAAGUUUCACCGUGCGUGUGUGAACUAUUUGCAGCCUGGUCAAACGACGCAGUAAGGCUGAUCCUGUCAAAUAAGUAUGCAAGCUACCUGACGGCCGAAUAGCUGGUUCGCUAAGCUAACAUCAGCUGAUGAGGACUACCAUCUCUCUUGUUUGCUCUGGUCGUGUGGGGAAAGUGUUUACAGCUGUUUGUUUCAUUGAGGACAUGAUAUCCAUUUCCUUCAUGACAAACUUGCGCUGACAUUGAUUUUAACUGGAUUUUGCCUGGAUCCUCAACUCAUUUAAUGAGACAGCGCCCCGGCCACGGUCAUCAAUACUUCAGGAGGAUUGGAGGCAGUGCUGUUUUAUUCAUCUUUGAUUUUACCCACUGCGUUCAGGUGCUCCUACCUCAGCAUCUCAUCAUAGGAGAUAUACCACUGCAUUGGAAUGAAGACUUCUGUUUGACAUUGAUGCACCUUUGUGGUAUUAUAUGCAAAUGGACCUGGAUGAAGUUGGAUGGUGUUUGAUGUGCAAAUGAUGAUUUUGGGGCACUGCAAAUGUGCACACCGCUGCUUUUCUGUUAAUUGCCUUCCCCGGGGAGUCAAGAAACGUUAUUAGUAAAAAAUGAAUGUAAGCACAAGUGGACAGGUUUCAGCUUUCAGGGUCUGAACCAGCAGAAGAAGUG